Molecule: long non-coding RNA, 4726 nt
Organism: Cucurbita moschata (crookneck pumpkin)
Lineage: Eukaryota; Viridiplantae; Streptophyta; Magnoliopsida; Cucurbitales; Cucurbitaceae
Exons: 3
Source: RefSeq, a predicted model, not a curated record
AAGACCAAGAACUCCCCCAAGCCAUGGUAAGAAAAGUGAACUUUCAAGGAUGAAAGUUUUUAAUUGAGGUGAAUUUUUAAGAGACCUAGUAAGAUGAAGAGAUCUUCGAGUAAGUUUAGGGCGUCCAAGAAUGGAUUAAGGGAUCCAAAAAAAAGGAUUAAAAGACACAUGAAUGGUGGUUAAUUGGCCAAAGGAAGAGUUUGUCAAUGCCCUAAAGGAAUGAUAAGGAUUCAAGGCUUUGAGAAAGAAAUAGCAUUUACUCCCAAGGAAAGGACUUAAGACCCUAAGAGCCCACCAAUUAACCUUGUUCAAGAAGGAAGAAGAGAAGUCUCUAUGAUGCAACCUUGAAGGAACAAGGUUGAUUAUGGCAAAACUUGUUGGGUACAAGGAAGGAAAUAUGCUCCAAGAUAUAAGAAAGAACAUAAAAAUGACUAAGAAAGACUUGUAAUCUCAACAAAGGAUGUUGAAAGACUUUCAAGAAGAACAAAUACGAGAUUAAGUACAUGGCCUUAAAAUUAGGACAAAAGGCCACAAGGGCAAAUUGGAAAAACAUGUCGGAGAAGGACAUACCCUUGCAAGGAGACUCUCAAGGUAUUUGGAAGGACAUAACUAAGACCAAGAACUACCCCAAGCCAUGGUAAGGAAAGUGAACUUUCAAGGAUGAAAGUUUUUAAGAGGGGGAGAACUUGUAAAAGACCAAGUAAGAUGAAGAAAUCUUCGAGUAAGUUUAGGGUGUCCAAGAAUGGAUUAAGGGAUCCAAAAAAAGGAUUAAAAGACUCAAGAAUGGUUAAUGGGCCAAAGGAAGAGAUUGUCAAUGCCAUGAAGGAAUGAUAAGGAUUCAAGAUUUUGAAAAAGAAAUAGCAUUUACUCCCAAGGAAAGGACAUAAGACCCUACGAGCCCACCAAUUAGUCUUUUUCAAGAAGGAAGAAGAGAAGUCUCUAUGAUGCAACCUUGAAGGAACAAGGUUCAUUAUGGCAAUACUUGUUGGGUACAAGGAAGGAAAUAUGCUCCAAGAUAUAAGGAAGAACAUUAAAAUGACCAAGAAAGACUUGUAAUCUCAACAAAGGAUGUUGAAAGACUUUCAAAAAGAACAAAUACGAGAUUAAGUACAUGGCCUUAAGUUAGGACGAAAGGCCACAAGGGCAAUUUGGAAAAACAUGUCGGAGAAGGACAUACCCUUGCAAGGGGACCCUCAAGGUACUUGGAAUGACAUAACUAAGACCAAGAACUCCCCCAAGCCAUGGUAAGAAAAGUGAACUUUCGAGGAUGAAAGUUUGUAAGAGGGGAGAAUUUGUAAGUCACCUAGUAAGAUGAAGAGAUCUUCGAGCAAGUAUAGGGUGUCCAAAAAAGAAUUAAGGGAUCCAAAAAAAGGAUUAAAAGACACAAGAAUGGUGGUUAAUUGGCCAAAGGAAGAGAUUGUCAAUGCCCUAAAGGAAUGAUAAGGAUUCAAGGCUUUGAAAAAGAAAUAGCAUUUACUUCCAAGGAUUGGACUUAAGACCCUAGGAGCCCACCAAUUAGCCUUGUUCAAGAAAGAAGAAGAGAAGUCUCUAUGAUGCAACCUUGAAGGAACAAGGUUGAUUAUGGCAAAACUUGUUGGGUACAAGGAAGGAAAUAUGCUCCAAGAUAUAAGGAAGAACAUAAAAAUGACCAAGAAAGACUUGUAAUCUCAACAAAGGAUGUUGUAAGACUUUCAAGAAGAACAAAUACGAGAUUAAGUACAUGGCCUUAAGUUAGGACAAAAGGCCACAAGGGCAAAUUGGAAAAACAUGUGGGAGAAGGACAUACCCUUGCAAGGGAACCCUCAAGGUAUUUUCAAGGACAUAACUAAGACCAAGAACUCCCCCAAGCCAUGGUAAGGAAAGUGAACUUUCAAGGAUGAAUGUUUUUAAGAGGGGAGAAAUUGUAAGAGACCUAGUAAAUUGGAAACAUCUUCGAAUAAGUUUAGGGUGUCCAAAAAAGAAUUAAGGGAUCCAAAAAAAGGAUUAAAAGAUACAAGAAUGGUGGUUAAUUGGCCAAAGGAAGAGAUUGUCAAUGCCCUAAAGGAAUGAUAAGGAUUCAAGGCUUUGAAAAAGAAAUAGCAUUUACUCCCAUCGAAAGGACUUAAGACCCUAAGAGCCCACCAAUUAGCCUUGUUCAAGAAGGAAGAAGAGAAGUCUCUAUGAUGCAACCUUGAAGGAACAAGGUUGAUUAUUGCAAAACUUGUUGGGUACAAGGAAGGAAAUAUGCUCCAAGAUAUAAGGAAGAACAUAAAAAUGACCAAGAAAGACUUGUAAUCACAACAAAGGAUGUUGAAAGACUUUCAAGAAGAACAAAUACGAGAUUAAGUACAUGCCCUUAAGUUAGGACAAAAGGCCACAAGGGCAAAUUGGAAAAACAUGUCGGAGAAGGACAUACCCUUGCAAGGAGACUCUCAAGGUAUUUGGAAGGACAUAACUAAGACCAAGAACUACCCCAAGCCAUGGUAAGGAAAGUGAACUUUCAAGGAUGAAAGUUUUUAAGAGGGGGAGAACUUGUAAAAGACCAAGUAAGAUGAAGAAAUCUUCGAGUAAGUUUAGGGUGUCCAAGAAUGGAUUAAGGGAUCCAAAAAAAGGAUUAAAAGACUCAAGAAUGGUUAAUGGGCCAAAGGAAGAGAUUGUCAAUGCCAUGAAGGAAUGAUAAGGAUUCAAGAUUUUGAAAAAGAAAUAGCAUUUACUCCCAAGGAAAGGACAUAAGACCCUACGAGCCCACCAAUUAGUCUUUUUCAAGAAGGAAGAAGAGAAGUCUCUAUGAUGCAACCUUGAAGGAACAAGGUUCAUUAUGGCAAUACUUGUUGGGUACAAGGAAGGAAAUAUGCUCCAAGAUAUAAGGAAGAACAUUAAAAUGACCAAGAAAGACUUGUAAUCUCAACAAAGGAUGUUGAAAGACUUUCAAAAAGAACAAAUACGAGAUUAAGUACAUGGCCUUAAGUUAGGACGAAAGGCCACAAGGGCAAUUUGGAAAAACAUGUCGGAGAAGGACAUACCCUUGCAAGGGGACCCUCAAGGUACUUGGAAUGACAUAACUAAGACCAAGAACUCCCCCAAGCCAUGGUAAGAAAAGUGAACUUUCGAGGAUGAAAGUUUGUAAGAGGGGAGAAUUUGUAAGUCACCUAGUAAGAUGAAGAGAUCUUCGAGCAAGUAUAGGGUGUCCAAAAAAGAAUUAAGGGAUCCAAAAAAAGGAUUAAAAGACACAAGAAUGGUGGUUAAUUGGCCAAAGGAAGAGAUUGUCAAUGCCCUAAAGGAAUGAUAAGGAUUCAAGGCUUUGAAAAAGAAAUAGCAUUUACUUCCAAGGAUUGGACUUAAGACCCUAGGAGCCCACCAAUUAGCCUUGUUCAAGAAAGAAGAAGAGAAGUCUCUAUGAUGCAACCUUGAAGGAACAAGGUUGAUUAUGGCAAAACUUGUUGGGUACAAGGAAGGAAAUAUGCUCCAAGAUAUAAGGAAGAACAUAAAAAUGACCAAGAAAGACUUGUAAUCUCAACAAAGGAUGUUGUAAGACUUUCAAGAAGAACAAAUACGAGAUUAAGUACAUGGCCUUAAGUUAGGACAAAAGGCCACAAGGGCAAAUUGGAAAAACAUGUGGGAGAAGGACAUACCCUUGCAAGGGAACCCUCAAGGUAUUUUCAAGGACAUAACUAAGACCAAGAACUCCCCCAAGCCAUGGUAAGGAAAGUGAACUUUCAAGGAUGAAUGUUUUUAAGAGGGGAGAAAUUGUAAGAGACCUAGUAAAUUGGAAACAUCUUCGAAUAAGUUUAGGGUGUCCAAAAAAGAAUUAAGGGAUCCAAAAAAAGGAUUAAAAGAUACAAGAAUGGUGGUUAAUUGGCCAAAGGAAGAGAUUGUCAAUGCCCUAAAGGAAUGAUAAGGAUUCAAGGCUUUGAAAAAGAAAUAGCAUUUACUCCCAUCGAAAGGACUUAAGACCCUAAGAGCCCACCAAUUAGCCUUGUUCAAGAAGGAAGAAGAGAAGUCUCUAUGAUGCAACCUUGAAGGAACAAGGUUGAUUAUUGCAAAACUUGUUGGGUACAAGGAAGGAAAUAUGCUCCAAGAUAUAAGGAAGAACAUAAAAAUGACCAAGAAAGACUUGUAAUCACAACAAAGGAUGUUGAAAGACUUUCAAGAAGAACAAAUACGAGAUUAAGUACAUGCCCUUAAGUUAGGACAAAAGGCCACAAGGGCAAAUUGGAAAAACAUGUCGGAGAAGGACAUACCCUUGCAAGGAGACUCUCAAGGUAUUUGGAAGGACAUAACUAAGACCAAGAACUACCCCAAGCCAUGGUAAGGAAAGUGAACUUUCAAGGAUGAAAGUUUUUAAGAGGGGAGAAUUUGUAAGUCACCUAGUAAGAUGAAGAGAUCUUCGAGCAAGUAUAGGGUGUCCAAAAAAGAAUUAAGGGAUCCAAAAAAAGGAUUAAAAGACACAAGAAUGGUGGUUAAUUGGCCAAAGGAAGAGAUUGUCAAUGCCCUAAAGGAAUGAUAAGGAUUCAAGGCUUUGAAAAAGAAAUAGCAUUUACUCCCAAGGAUUAGACUUAAGACCCUAGGAGCCCACCAAUUAGCCUUGUUCAAGAAAGAAGAAGAGAAGUCUCUAUGAUGCAACCUUGAAGGAACAAGGUUGAUUAUGGCAAAACUUGUUGGGUACAAGGAAGGAAAUAUGCUCCAAGAUAUAAGGAAGAACAUAAAAAUGACCAAGAAAGACUUGUAAUCUCAACAAAGGAUGUUG